UACGAAGGGGGCUAGCGUUGCUCGGAAUUACUGGGCGUAAAGGGCGCGUAGGCGGCACUGUUAGUCAGGCGUGAAAGUCCUGGGCUCAACCUGGGAACUGCGCUUGAUACGGCAGAGCUAGAGGAUGGAAGAGGGUCGCGGAAUUCCCAGUGUAGAGGUGAAAUUCGUAGAUAUUGGGAAGAACACCGGUGGCGAAGGCGGCUUGCUGGGCCUGAUCUGACGCUGAGGCGCGAAAGCGUGGGGAGCAAACAGG
Molecule: ribosomal RNA, 253 nt
Filed under: uncultured bacterium
Lineage: Bacteria
Description: partial 16S ribosomal RNA
Rfam family: Bacterial small subunit ribosomal RNA
Source: RNAcentral